Molecule: ribosomal RNA, 412 nt
Filed under: uncultured bacterium
Lineage: Bacteria
Description: bacterial SSU rRNA
Rfam family: Bacterial small subunit ribosomal RNA
Source: RNAcentral
GUGUCGCCGCCGCGGUAAUACGUAGGUGGCAAGCGGUGUCCGGAAUUAUUGGGCGUAAAGCGCGCGCAGGUGGUUUCUUAAGUCUGAUGUGAAAGCCCACGGCUUAACCGUGGAGGGUCCUUGGAAACUGGGAGACUUGAGUGCAGAAGAGGAAAGUGGAAUUCCAAGGGUAGCGGGGACAUGCGUAGAAAUUUGGAGAAACACCAGUGGCGAAGGCGACUUUCUGGUCUGCAACUGACGCUGAUGCGCGAAAGCAUGGGGAGCAAACAGGAUUAGAUACCCUGGUAGGCCAUGCCGUAAACGAUGAGUGCUAAGUGUUAGGGGGUUUCCGCCCCUUAGUGCUGCAGCUAACGCAUUAAGCACUCCGGCUGGGGAGUACGAUCGCAAGGUUGAAACUUAAAUGAAUUGACGG